Small nucleolar RNA from Cinclus cinclus, 136 nucleotides. RefSeq annotates it as small nucleolar RNA SNORA8. The record is from RefSeq and is a predicted model, not a curated record. Lineage: Eukaryota; Metazoa; Chordata; Aves; Passeriformes; Cinclidae. The transcript has a single exon.
UGCAGUGUUCCAGUACCUGCACUCGGCAGCAUUCUGUGGAAUGUUCAAAAAGCAGUGCUACACCAGUGCAGCAUUUUGCCUCCUUGGUUUUCAUUCUGCUGUGUCCGUUAAAGCUGGUGCUUUUGCUGAAAUAGUC